This 456-nucleotide non-coding RNA is filed under the name Mesobacillus campisalis. RNAcentral describes it as "Bacillus campisalis Bacterial large subunit ribosomal RNA". It matches the Rfam family "Bacterial large subunit ribosomal RNA", at positions 2471 to 2925 of the family's 2925-position model. Lineage: Bacteria; Bacillati; Bacillota; Bacilli; Caryophanales; Bacillaceae. The record is from Rfam by way of RNAcentral.
GGGAUAACAGGCUUAUCUCCCCCAAGAGUCCACAUCGACGGGGAGGUUUGGCACCUCGAUGUCGGCUCAUCGCAUCCUGGGGCUGUAGUCGGUCCCAAGGGUUGGGCUGUUCGCCCAUUAAAGCGGUACGCGAGCUGGGUUCAGAACGUCGUGAGACAGUUCGGUCCCUAUCCGUCGUGGGCGCAGGAAAUUUGAGAGGAGCUGUCCUUAGUACGAGAGGACCGGGAUGGACGCACCGCUGGUGUACCAGUUGUCUUGCCAAAGGCAUCGCUGGGUAGCUAUGUGCGGACGGGAUAAGUGCUGAAAGCAUCUAAGCAUGAAGCCCCCCUCAAGAUGAGAUUUCCCAUAGCGUCAAGCUAGUAAGAUCCCUGAAAGAUGAUCAGGUUGAUAGGUCAGAGGUGGAAGCACGGUGACGUGUGGAGCUGACUGAUACUAAUCGAUCGAGGACUUAACCUA